Molecule: ribosomal RNA, 254 nt
Filed under: uncultured bacterium
Lineage: Bacteria
Description: partial 16S ribosomal RNA
Rfam family: Bacterial small subunit ribosomal RNA
Source: RNAcentral
UACGUAGGUGGCAAGCGUUGUUCGGAUUUACUGGGCGUAAAGGGCGCGUAGGCGGUCAGCACAAGUCAGUUGUGAAAUCUCCGGGCUUAACUCGGAAAGGUCAACUGAUACUGUGCGACUAGAGUGCGGAAGGGGCAACUGGAAUUCUCGGUGUAGCGGUGAAAUGCGUAGAUAUCGAGAGGAACACCUGCGGCGAAGGCGGGUUGCUGGGCCGACACUGACGCUGAUGCGCGAAAGCCAGGGGAGCGAACGGG